This 491-nucleotide ribosomal RNA is filed under the name uncultured bacterium. RNAcentral's name for it is "partial 16S ribosomal RNA". It matches the Rfam family "Bacterial small subunit ribosomal RNA", at positions 29 to 506 of the family's 1533-position model. The record is from RNAcentral.
AGUGAACGCUGGCGGUAGGCCUAACACAUGCAAGUCGAACGGCAGCACAGUAAGGGCUUGCUCUUACGGGUGGCGAGUGGCGGACGGGUGAGGAAUACAUCGGAAUCUACUUUUUCGUGGGGGAUAACGUAGGGAAACUUACGCUAAUACCGCAUACGACCUACGGGUGAAAGCAGGGGAUCUUCGGACCUUGCGCGAUUGAAUGAGCCGAUGUCGGAUUAGCUAGUUGGCGGGGUAAAGGCCCACCAAGGCGACGAUCCGUAGCUGGUCUGAGAGGAUGAUCAGCCACACUGGAACUGAGACACGGUCCAGACUCCUACGGGAGGCAGCAGUGGGGAAUAUUGGACAAUGGGCGCAAGCCUGAUCCAGCCAUACCGCGUGGGUGAAGAAGGCCUUCGGGUUGUAAAGCCCUUUUGUUGGGAAAGAAAAGCAGCAGGUUAAUACCCCGCUGUUCUGACGGUACCCAAAGAAUAAGCACCGGCUAACUGCGU